CUGCAGCCCGAGUGGUGGUCGAUUUUAUUGAGCCUAAAGCGUCCGUAGCCGGACUAGUAAACCCUUGGGUAAAUUGGGCAGCUUAACUGUCCAAAUUCCGAGGGGACUGCUAGUCUUGGGACCGGGAGAGGUCAGAGGUACUCAAGGGGUAGGGGCUAAAUCCUGUAAUCCUUUGGGGACCACCAGUGGCGAAGGCGUCUGACUAGAACGGAUCCGACGGUAAGGGACGAAACCCUGGGACGCGAACCGGAUUAGAUACCCGAGUAGUCC
This 270-nucleotide ribosomal RNA is filed under the name uncultured archaeon. RNAcentral describes it as "partial 16S ribosomal RNA". It matches the Rfam family "Archaeal small subunit ribosomal RNA", at positions 477 to 747 of the family's 1478-position model. The record is from RNAcentral.